UGGAUCCGUAAUCCGGGUUGCGGACAGUGUCUGGUGGGUAGUUUGACUGGGGCGGUCUCCUCCUAAAGAGUAACGGAGGAGCACGAAGGUUGGCUAAUCCUGGUCGGACAUCAGGAGGUUAGUGCAAUGGCAUAAGCCAGCUUGACUGCGAGCGUGACGGCGCGAGCAGGUGCGAAAGCAGGUCAUAGUGAUCCGGUGGUUCUGAAUGGAAGGGCCAUCGCUCAACGGAUAAAAGGUACUCCGGGGAUAACAGGCUGAUACCGCCCAAGAGUUCAUAUCGACGGCGGUGUUUGGCACCUCGAUGUCGGCUCAUCACAUCCUGGGGCUGAAGUAGGUCCCAAGGGUAUGGCUGUUCGCCAUUUAAAGUGGUACGCGAGCUGGGUUUAGAACGUCGUGAGACAGUUCGGUCCCUAUCUGCCGUGGGCGCUGGAGAACUGAGGGGGGCUGCUCCUAGUACGAGAGGACCGGAGUGGACGCAUCACUGGUGUUCGGGUUGUCAUGCCAAUGGCACUGCCCGGUAGCUAAAUGCGGAAGAGAUAAGUGCUGAAAGCAUCUAAGCACGAAACUUGCCCCGAGAUGAGUUCUCCCUGAGACUUAGAGUCUCCUGAAGGAACGUUGAAGACGACGACGUUGAUAGGCCGGGUGUGUAAGCGCAGCGAUGCGUUGAGCUAACCGGUACUAAUGAACCGUGAGGCUUAACCUUACAACGCCGAAG
This 715-nucleotide ribosomal RNA is filed under the name Salmonella enterica subsp. enterica serovar Infantis. Its description in RNAcentral is "partial 23S ribosomal RNA". It matches the Rfam family "Bacterial large subunit ribosomal RNA", at positions 2228 to 2925 of the family's 2925-position model. The record is from RNAcentral. Lineage: Bacteria; Pseudomonadati; Pseudomonadota; Gammaproteobacteria; Enterobacterales; Enterobacteriaceae.